This 636-nucleotide long non-coding RNA is filed under the name Equus asinus (donkey). RNAcentral's name for it is "lncRNA (ENSEASG00005028433.1)". The record is from RNAcentral. Lineage: Eukaryota; Metazoa; Chordata; Mammalia; Perissodactyla; Equidae.
AAAUACGUGGUUUGUGAGAUGGAAGUGGCAGCAGAAGAAAACGUUUUUGUCAAGUAUUUGCUGUGUGCCAGGCAUAGUACGGCUGGGAUCUUUCCACCUGUUAGUUCAUCGAAUCCUCAAAACGCCAAGUGAGACAAGGAAACUAAGGCCUCCUGGAGUUAACUUACUGGCUCAAGUCACUAAGAGACAGGGCUCACGCCAAAUUGAAGACUGGCCAUCAGCACCGAUGCCAAGGCACCCCACAGUCUACAGAAACGGUCUGAUGUCACCCCUGCAGCGAUUCCAGGACUCUGGUUUCCUGGGUCUGUCAUCCGGAUUGUCCCUGUGGGACUAACAGCCUGGGAAGCAGGGAGGACAACUAUUACCCACAGUGCUUUACCUAUGAGCACCUGUGCCAAUGUUCAUUUAGGAUAAAUUCUAAGAAAAAUUUCUCAGCUGAAGGGAAUGAACAUUUAAAUUUAAUAAAUAUUGCCAAAUCACCUUCUAAUAAUGUACCAAUUUGUACUUCGAGUAAUAAUGAGUUUCCCCUCACCCUCACAAACACAGCUUUCAACAAAUCUUUUGGACACUUUUUGUGAAUGAUGGAAAUUUCAGGUUUAUUUUGCAUUUUAUUUAAUUGGGAAUAAGAGUGAACAU